GUGGUGGGGCUGGUGGUGGUGACGGUCAACCUCCACAAUCAGACCAGCCUCCUGAAGACACCAGUCCAAGUUCACAUUCACCCGUUCUACCUGGGCACUCUAUGUAUGGUAGCUCUUGGGACGACGACGACGAUGAGGCAGACUUGGCCGGUCCAGGUUUCGGAUUGAGAAGACAGACUGAGAAUACCGACUUGCUCGAGGAUUUGGUCGACUUGAUUUCAAAUCGCUUGCCUAUUGUGAUAGAAGAAUCGGUUGCCAAGCAUAUCCGGGACAUGAUUGCCGAAGUGGAGCAACACAACACCAGAGUAGCCCGCCAGACACAGCAGAUCGUCCGUCAGCAAGUUGUCGAUGAGAUCAUGAGCCAGUUCAGGACAGCCACGGGUACUGUAGUGGACCAAGUUGCUGACAUCAUAGAUAGCAAUGCACCAAUUUAGAAGUAAUUCGACUGAGUAGACCUUACAAACGUUACUGAGGCUGUGAGUCAUGCAGCAGAUCAUGUGGAGCAACUGAGGGAGGUGCUAGUAUGAUCACUACAUGUAGUAUUGCUGGGUGCCUACAACCAUCCACAAUUAGAGCGGAUAGCAUGCCAGAAAGGAUAGCAUGCCAGAAUGGAUAGCAUGCCAGAAUGGAUAGCAUGCCAGAAUGGAUAGCAUGCCAGGGUGUCGAUCCUCUGCAGCACAGCACAGUUUGACCUGUUUGCUUUUUAAUCACAGUUUGCAGCUGCCGGGCUUACAUGCUCCAUAGCCACAACCAAUGCUGCCUGGUUUGAUAUGAAAUGCCUACCCCAGAGUUACAAUAUGCUACACCCGCUCUACCACGUUUGCAUUGGAUCCGAACAGCAUUGUAUAACUUCAUUUGCCAGCAUUACCUCCGAGCUGCGUGGAGUGUUUUAAGCGUCUCGUAGCCAUCUGACACAUGCACACGCUGGACAAGAGCUGUCAGCAAAAGUCCAAAUCAUUUCGUGCGCACUCACCCAGCAAAGUCAAUCCCCACUGGUCCGGUGCUGCUAUAAGAUCAUAGUAAUUGCUUUAGAAUGCUCAGUCUGCUUGAAGUAUUUACCACAGAUUAUUACCAUGAGGUAAAAUAUGAUUUGUCAAGCAUAGUAUGCUUGUCACAUGAUGCCUGUAAUGACAGCCAGCUUGGAUAUAACAUUGCAAAGUAGCAGUACAUAUUUUAUCAAGAGUGAACUGAAAUUCACCUAACAUUCAAAUACACCCUUUUUUCGUUUGA
This is a long non-coding RNA of Sycon ciliatum, 1230 nucleotides long. RefSeq lists it as uncharacterized. NCBI's taxonomy places the organism in Eukaryota, Metazoa, Porifera, Calcarea, Leucosolenida, Sycettidae. The transcript has 2 exons. The record is from RefSeq and is a predicted model, not a curated record.